GGGUGCAGGAUGGGUGCUGGGGAUACCAUCAGUAGGGUGCUGUGGGUGCUAUGGGUGCAGAUAGCUGCUGGGUUGGGUGCUUGCAGGACGGGUGCCAUGGGUUGGGUGUGGGUGCUGAGUGGGUGCUGUGGGUUCAGGGUGUGCGCUGGGUGGGUGCCAUUGGUUGGGUGUGGGUGCAGGGUGGGUGCUGUGGGUGCCAUGGGGCUCUCCACGACCAUUGGGGGUCUCUGUAGCCUUGGAUC
Long non-coding RNA from Neopsephotus bourkii (Bourke's parrot), 242 nucleotides. RefSeq lists it as uncharacterized. The transcript is spliced from 3 exons. NCBI's taxonomy places the organism in Eukaryota, Metazoa, Chordata, Aves, Psittaciformes, Psittacidae. The record is from RefSeq and is a predicted model, not a curated record.